CAGCAGCCGCGGUAAUACGUAGGGUGCGAGCGUUAAUCGGAAUUACUGGGCGCAAAGCGUGCGCAGGCGGUUGUGUAAGACAGGUGUGAAAUCCCCGGGCUUAACCUGGGAACUGCGCUUGUGACUGCACAGCUAGAGUAUGGCAGAGGGGGGUGGAAUUCCACGUGUAGCAGUGAAAUGCGUAGAGAUGUGGAGGAACACCGAUGGCGAAGGCAGCCCCCUGGGCCAACACUGACGCUCAUGCACGAAAGCGUGGGGAGCAAACAGGAUUAGAUACCCGAGUAGUCCCUGUCUCUUUACA
RNAcentral lists this ribosomal RNA (301 nucleotides) under uncultured bacterium. RNAcentral's name for it is "partial 16S ribosomal RNA". It matches the Rfam family "Bacterial small subunit ribosomal RNA", at positions 509 to 808 of the family's 1533-position model. The record is from RNAcentral.